UUGCUUUGCAGUUCUUACACAAUUUUUUUUCUUAUUUACUUCUAAAAGUAAAUAAAAAACUUAUAAAGCUGUCAUUAUUAUAUAACAACUAUACGUAUUAUGAUGUUAUUAUUUAGUUAUGUUGUUGCUUGGUUACAUUUGAUGCCUCCGCACGUGGGAAGCUACCGGUUUGAAAGACGCGGCUUCACUUGCUUUUCUGCACCAAGAUGGCAAGAAUCAGACGAUUUGAGAAAGCUGUUUGCUGGAGCGACGACAGAUACUGGGCAACUUGGGACAAGUGGGGAGAGGUGAAAAUGACCUGAAAUCAAUGAGUUUGAACACUGGACACUACAUUCCGUGUUUGUGUAUAAAGUCAUGUUUAGCGGACAUGCGAGUUCAUUC
This is a long non-coding RNA of Brienomyrus brachyistius, 381 nucleotides long. RefSeq lists it as uncharacterized. The record is from RefSeq and is a predicted model, not a curated record. The transcript is spliced from 3 exons. NCBI's taxonomy places the organism in Eukaryota, Metazoa, Chordata, Actinopteri, Osteoglossiformes, Mormyridae.